RNAcentral lists this ribosomal RNA (379 nucleotides) under uncultured Phormidium sp. Its description in RNAcentral is "bacterial SSU rRNA". It matches the Rfam family "Bacterial small subunit ribosomal RNA", at positions 376 to 770 of the family's 1533-position model. Lineage: Bacteria; Bacillati; Cyanobacteriota; Cyanophyceae; Oscillatoriales; Oscillatoriaceae. The record is from RNAcentral.
CGAAAGCCUGACGGAGCAAGACCGCGUGGGGGAUGAAGGCUCUUGGGUUGUAAACCCCUUUUCUCAGGGAAGAAGUUCUGACGGUACCUGAGGAAUCAGCAUCGGCUAACUCCGUGCCAGCAGCCGCGGUAAGACGGAGGAUGCAAGCGUUAUCCGGAAUUAUUGGGCGUAAAGCGUUCGUAGGUGGCUGUUCAAGUCUGCCGUUAAAGACCGGGGCUUAACUCCGGAAAAACUGUGGAAACUGAACAGCUAGAGUAGGGUAGGGGUAAGGGGAAUUCCCGGUGUAGCGGUGAAAUGCGUGGAUAUCGGGAAGAACACCGGUGGCGAAGGCGCCUUACUGGACCCUAACUGACACUGAGGGACGAAAGCUAGGGGAGCG